GACGAACGCUGGCGGCGUGCUUAACACAUGCAAGUCGAACGGCAGCACAGCAGAGCUUGCUCUGUGGGUGGCGAGUGGCGGACGGGUGAGGAAUACAUGGGAAUCUGCCCAGUCGUGGGGGAUAACGUAGGGAAACUUACGCUAAUACCGCAUGCGCCCUUCGGGGAAAGCCGGGGACCUUCGGGCCUGGCGCGAUUGGAUGAGCCCAUGUCGGAUUAGCUAGUUGGCGGGGUAAAGGCCCACCAAGGCGACGAUCCGUAGCUGGUCUGAGAGGAUGAUCAGCCACACUGGAACUGAGACACGGUCCAGACUCCUACGGGAGGCAGCAGUAGGGAAUAUUGGACAAUGGGCGCAAGCCUGAUCCAGCCAUGCCGCGUGAGUGAAGAAGGCCCUCGGGUUGUAAAGCUCUUUUGUCCGGAAAGAAAAGCGCCGGGUUAAUACCCUGGUGUCCUGACGGUACCGGAAGAAUAAGCACCGGCUAACUUCGUGCCAGCAGCCGAC
This 501-nucleotide ribosomal RNA is filed under the name uncultured bacterium. RNAcentral's name for it is "bacterial SSU rRNA". It matches the Rfam family "Bacterial small subunit ribosomal RNA", at positions 28 to 518 of the family's 1533-position model. The record is from RNAcentral.